RNAcentral lists this ribosomal RNA (511 nucleotides) under uncultured bacterium. RNAcentral describes it as "bacterial SSU rRNA". It matches the Rfam family "Bacterial small subunit ribosomal RNA", at positions 29 to 524 of the family's 1533-position model. The record is from RNAcentral.
AACAAACGCUGGCGGCGUGCCUAACACAUGCAAGUCGUACGAGAAAGUCGGCUUCGGCCGAUGAGUACAGUGGCGCACGGGUGAGUAGCGCGUGGGUAAUCUGCCCCCCGGUCAGGAAUAACCCGCCGAAAGGCGGGCUAAUACCCGAUAACACUGACGCUCCGCGGAGCGUCUUUCAAAGGAGGCCUCUGUUUACAAGCUUUCGCCGGAGGAUGAGCCCGCGUACCAUUAGCUAGUUGGCAGGGUAAUGGCCUACCAAGGCUGCGAUGGUUAGCUGGUCUGAGAGGAUGGCCAGCCACACUGGAACUGAGACACGGUCCAGACUCCUACGGGAGGCAGCAGUGAGGAAUCUUGCGCAAUGGGGGAAACCCUGACGCAGCAACGCCGCGUGAGUGAAGAAGGCCUCGGUUGUAAGACUCUUCGGUCCGGGAAAAGUACGACAUCAGUUAAUAACCUGUGUGGAGUGAUGGUACCGGAAGUAAGAAGACACCGGACUAACUAACGUCGCACG